This 24-nucleotide small nuclear RNA is filed under the name Arabidopsis thaliana (thale cress). Its description in RNAcentral is "snRNA_09328". The record is from RNAcentral. Lineage: Eukaryota; Viridiplantae; Streptophyta; Magnoliopsida; Brassicales; Brassicaceae.
GUCUCAUGGAUACGUGGUAUAGUG